CCUACGGGAGGCAGCAGUGAGGAAUAUUGGUCAAUGGACGAGAGUCUGAACCAGCCAAGUAGCGUGAAGGAUGACUGCCCUAUGGGUUGUAAACUUCUUUUAUAUGGGAAUAAAAUGUUCCACGUGUGGGAUUUUGUAUGGACCAUAUGAAUAAGGAUCGGCUAACUCCGUGCUAGCAGCCGCGGUAAUACGGAGGAUACGAGCGUUAUCCGGAUUUAUUGGGUGUAAAGGGAGCGUAGGUGGAUUGUUAAGUCAGUUGUGAAAGUAUGCGGCUCAACCGUAGAAUUGCAGUUGACACUGGCAGUCUAGAGUACAGUAGAGGUGGGCGGAAUUCGAGGUGUAGCGGUGAAAUGCUUAGAUAUCACGAAGAACUCCGAUGGCGAAGGCAGCUCACUGGACUGCAACUGACACUGAGGCUCGAAAGUGUGGGUAUCAAACAGGAUUAGAUACCCUUGUAGUC
RNAcentral lists this ribosomal RNA (460 nucleotides) under uncultured bacterium. RNAcentral describes it as "partial 16S ribosomal RNA". It matches the Rfam family "Bacterial small subunit ribosomal RNA", at positions 338 to 795 of the family's 1533-position model. The record is from RNAcentral.